Long non-coding RNA from Brachypodium distachyon (stiff brome), 2737 nucleotides. RefSeq lists it as uncharacterized. The transcript is spliced from 2 exons. NCBI's taxonomy places the organism in Eukaryota, Viridiplantae, Streptophyta, Magnoliopsida, Poales, Poaceae. The record is from RefSeq and is a predicted model, not a curated record.
AUGAACAGAUGUUGGUGCAUGCAAGUAUUGACACACUUUGUUAACAGAGAAAGAUAUAUCAGGUCAUGUGAGGGUCAAGUAUUGUAAAGCUCCCACAAUGCUCAUGUACUUUGUUCCAUCUUCAGUACUUAGAGGAACAAGGUGCCAAGUCUUGUUUCUCAUGAGAGCAUCAUACUCUUCAUCCAUAGCUUUCUUCCAGUACUUAUCUUCCAGAGCAUCUUGUAGACCAUCUGGUUCACCUGAAGCACUUAACGAGCCAUACGGAAUGGUGCCAUUAGUUCUUAUUUUUGUCAUAACUUUACCAUGUUGGAGCCUGGUUCGCUGGGCCACAGGUGGAGACACAGGUGCAGUCGAUGCAGAGGAUCCCGGACUUAGAUUCGGUGCGGCAGAACCACCCGACGCAGCCUGGGACACGUGGUCGCUUGCCGUUGGUGCGGACAGAGAUUGAAUCGAGCGAGAGUUGGAGCGGCCCGAGGAGGAUCUCGUACGGGAGCUCGCCUGGUUGGUGGAGUACGCGCUUUCUCCUGGCACGUGAUCCGAGGAGGAUUGCCCCAAAGACUGCGCCGAAUCCCCUCCGUGUUUUGUGCUGGUCUGCUGCUGGAGAUCUUCACCGUUUUGGCUCAAAUCUUCAUCGUUUGCACCCAAAUUUUCUCCUGCAUCAUUAUCUUUCAUUCCUUCCUCGUUUAUCUGCACAGAAGAAGGAGCACGCAAACUUGGCAUAUGGUCAGUCCCUAUUGUGCCCCCUUGAUCGGAUGCUAUAUAUUUAUAUAGCGCUUGCGCGACGGGGGGCCGAAACCAUUAGUCGGUAAGUGCCCCCGAUCAGGGUGCGAUUAGUGGAAUUAACCAUUAACGUUGGUUAAUGGAUUAAUUCCUAAAACACAUAGAUUAAGGACGUGGAAUAGUUUCCCAAAACACAGCCCUCUAAUUAAGGACUUGAUUUUAGGCAUUUGUUACAUGUUAAAACAGAUCAACCAACAGGAGCUUGUUCUUGUUCGAUGGAUUUUUGUUCAUUGAGAAUCAGUGAGUUUGAAGUAUAAGCAUAUGAGCGUACGUACGUGCAUGGUACUGGUUGAGAAGCAUGCAUGCUCUCAUUUUUGAUAUGAUGCGUACGUGCAUGGAAAUAUCAGCUAGCUAAGGAUCGAUUUAUCAGUAUGUUUUGAACAUACGUAUCGAUUGAUCAAUAUGGCAGUAUUAAUCACCUCAAGCAAACUCAAGAAAAAAAGCCAGAGCUGCAUGUGCAUGCUGCACGUACAAACACGUACGCGUAGCCAGCUAUGGAGAAGUUUAUGUACGAUCGUAUACGGCUGGAGGACUCGUACAUACCCGCCGUGGGUUAUUCAGGUCGCUGGUAGAAGGGAUAAGGCCUCCCGCACAACUUCUGCCGAGGAUUAAGGAGCUCGUAGCUAUCCAUUGCUGCACGCGGCUUGUUAGUUGCUGCGUAUAAAAGGCGCAGAUGCCAGCGCUCGUAAGGCAUUCACCUGGACACGGGAGACUUUAACAGAGAAAACUUCCAAGGGCGCACGCAGAAGCAGCAGAGCAUGCUGAAGCUACGCUCAAUCAGGAAGAAGAAGAAGAAGAAACUACAAGAAACACCAAGCUAGCAGAUCAAGCAUUGGUGGCCAGGAGUGAAGGCCACCUCUAGGAGGAAGCCGUCCAGGAGGUUGACGUGAAGCAGCAAGUCGACAGCAAGCUAGAUUUCACGGCCUUUUUCUCUAAUGGUGAGGGAUCCUGGCUGACCCCCUCUCUCUCUCUCUCCCCAACAUCUCUUCCCUGCACGACUGGAGUUGCGGUGGAGGCGACAGUCGCAUGGCCCGAGUUACCAGCAAGCAGCCCAAAGGUUUCUCGGUCGCUGUGCACUGAAGAUUGGCGUCACUGCCCUUCGUCGAGCUCGUCAGCGUGUGGCCCGCGGCAUCGGCGUCAUGGAGGAUGGAGCUCGCCAUCAGCUGCAGCCCGUCAACAUCAACAACAAUACGACGUCGACGUCAUGGAGGACGGAGCUCGCCAACAGCUGCAGCCCGUCGCCGUCAACAACAAUACGACGUCGACAUCACGGAGGAUGGAGCUCGCCAGCAGCCGCAGCCCGUCGCCGUCAACAACAACACGACGUUGACGUACACCAUGGUGGAUGGAGCUAGACGACUCCUGCAGCCUACCACGGCGCCGGUGGAGCCUAUCAUCAAGCUAUCGUCAUCAAGUCAUCAACGGCAAGUCGUCACCGCACGCUCGGUGGAGACAUCACCAUGUCGCCUGUGGCAUCAGGGCCAAGCUUCGCCAACAUGCAACCCGCCAACGCUGCUGCAAGUGGACAUGGGAGCUAGCUAAGCUCCCACCCAUACGUCAUCAAGCUGGGCGGAAGAAGGGCUCAUCGGCAUACACGUCAUCAAGGGCCGUGGCAGAUGUAGCUCGUCACCAUGCUUAGUGGACUUGCCGCCGUGCAGUCCCUAAGGCGUCGCGUGAAGACGACGAGGUGCUGCACCCAUUACUUUGCGGCUCGACCAAGACGAGAAGGCGUGCUGACACCUAUGAUGACCGCCGUGUCAACUCGGCACUACUACAGAAAGGCUUAUCAGUAACGGUCGGGGCCGCCGUUACUAACUUCGUGUUACUGAUCAUGGGUAUCAUCAGUAACAGUCGGUCCGACCAUUAAUGAUGUACCAUCAUCAGUAACGGUCAUUGGGCGGGCCGACAUGACCGUUACUGAGCAAGCUAAUUCAAAUCAGCAAGCUAAUUCUGUAAA